Molecule: long non-coding RNA, 1057 nt
Filed under: Betta splendens (Siamese fighting fish)
Lineage: Eukaryota; Metazoa; Chordata; Actinopteri; Anabantiformes; Osphronemidae
Description: lncRNA (ENSBSLG00000023353.1)
Source: RNAcentral
UUAAGCACACACUUCCUCUAAAUCCUUUCAAAAUAAAAGCACCAAGCCAAAUGAUUAGCUUUAAUAGCAAUAUUUCUGCUUUUAGAUGGGUAAUUAUGACAAUUUAAAGAUAGAUUAACAGUUUAGUAAUUACCCACAGAUGCUUCCUCUACAUAUUUUCAAAAUAAAAGCACCAAUGCAAUUUAUUAGCUUUAACUGCACUGUUUUUGCCUUUUAAUGGGUAAUUAUGAUUAUUUAAAGACUAAAUGACAGUUAUGCUAUUACCCCCACACAUUUCCUCUAAAUCCUUUCAAAAUAAAAGCACCAAUUACAAUUUAUUGCCUAUAAUGGCAAGAUUGAUUAGAAAUUUAUCUAAAUAUAACAAUAUUUGAUAAUCUUAAUUUAAAUCUUUUGCUUUAAUAGGGCUAUUCUUGCUAUUGAAUGAUAAAUUAUGACUAUCUAAUGACUAUUUAUAGUUUAGCAAUCACUCACACACAACUCCAAACCCUCUCAAAAUAAAAGGACCAAUGUUAUUUAUUGUCAUGAUCUGGGUUUUUGUUCUAGUUGUUUCCUGUUGUCACGCCAUGUCCUGUUUUAUUUUGUUAAACUUCCUGUUCUCUGUCAGCUGUCACUUACCUGUUCCCAGUAUCCACACCUGUCAGUAAUUACGUAAUCACUCUGUGUAUUUAGCCACCACCUGUUCCCAUAGUCCUUUGCCAGAUUGUCGAGUUUCUUGAGUUUCGUGAGUUUCCUGAGUGUCUUUAGUUUCCCGAGUUCCUUGAGUCUUCUUGAAGUUUCCCGUGUUUCGUGUUCCGUGUUCCGUGUUCCUCGUGUUUUGUUCCCGUUUGCUUUCACCGUCGUUUCCUGCCUGACCCUGGACUACGAUCCGACCGUGAGUUUUGCUUUCCCUGCCUGUACUUUUGCCGUGACCUUCCGUGUACCGAACCUCGCCUACGUACUGGACUCGAGAUCGCCUGCUCCCCUUUGUACCUUUUGCUGAGCCUUUUGUGUAUGACCUGGACCGUCUCACUCCGCUUAUAGCAAUAAACCUGUGUUUGAUCAUUAUCCUGCCUCGGUG